This 801-nucleotide ribosomal RNA is filed under the name Enterococcus faecalis. RNAcentral's name for it is "bacterial SSU rRNA". It matches the Rfam family "Bacterial small subunit ribosomal RNA", at positions 1 to 774 of the family's 1533-position model. The record is from RNAcentral. Lineage: Bacteria; Bacillati; Bacillota; Bacilli; Lactobacillales; Enterococcaceae.
AUUAUGAGAGUUUGAUCCUGGCUCAGGACGAACGCUGGCGGCGUGCCUAAUACAUGCAAGUCGAACGCUUCUUUCCUCCCGAGUGCUUGCACUCAAUUGGAAAGAGGAGUGGCGGACGGGUGAGUAACACGUGGGUAACCUACCCAUCAGAGGGGGAUAACACUUGGAAACAGGUGCUAAUACCGCAUAACAGUUUAUGCCGCAUGGCAUAAGAGUGAAAGGCGCUUUCGGGUGUCGCUGAUGGAUGGACCCGCGGUGCAUUAGCUAGUUGGUGAGGUAACGGCUCACCAAGGCCACGAUGCAUAGCCGACCUGAGAGGGUGAUCGGCCACACUGGGACUGAGACACGGCCCAGACUCCUACGGGAGGCAGCAGUAGGGAAUCUUCGGCAAUGGACGAAAGUCUGACCGAGCAACGCCGCGUGAGUGAAGAAGGUUUUCGGAUCGUAAAACUCUGUUGUUAGAGAAGAACAAGGACGUUAGUAACUGAACGUCCCCUGACGGUAUCUAACCAGAAAGCCACGGCUAACUACGUGCCAGCAGCCGCGGUAAUACGUAGGUGGCAAGCGUUGUCCGGAUUUAUUGGGCGUAAAGCGAGCGCAGGCGGUUUCUUAAGUCUGAUGUGAAAGCCCCCGGCUCAACCGGGGAGGGUCAUUGGAAACUGGGAGACUUGAGUGCAGAAGAGGAGAGUGGAAUUCCAUGUGUAGCGGUGAAAUGCGUAGAUAUAUGGAGGAACACCAGUGGCGAAGGCGGCUCUCUGGUCUGUAACUGACGCUGAGGCUCGAAAGCGUGGGGAGCAAACA